RNAcentral lists this ribosomal RNA (254 nucleotides) under uncultured bacterium. Its description in RNAcentral is "partial 16S ribosomal RNA". It matches the Rfam family "Bacterial small subunit ribosomal RNA", at positions 524 to 776 of the family's 1533-position model. The record is from RNAcentral.
UACGUAGGGGCCUAGCGUUGUCCGGAUUUAUUGGGCGUAAAGAGCUCGUAGGCGGUCUGUCGCGUCGGUCGUGAAAACUUGGGGCUUAACCCUGAGCUUGCGGUCGAUACGGGCAUGACUGGAGUUCGGCAGGGGAGACUGGAAUUCCUGGUGUAGCGGUGAAAUGCGCAGAUAUCAGGAGGAACACCGGUGGCGAAGGCGGGUCUCUGGGCCGAUACUGACGCUGAGGAGCGAAAGCGUGGGGAGCGAACAGG